UAAAAUGGGCUAACACUGAAAGAACCUUGCAGAAUCUCAGCAACGUCACAGAGGACAUUGUUAGCACAGCCAGCGGGCUCCUGCUGGGCUGAGUUUGUGGGUAAUCCAAGCCUCGGCAGGUACAGUUCCUCCCUCAGGGCCCAGGACACAGUGAGCAUACAAUAGACAUUAGCUGCUGUGGUGUCUUGAUUUCAAGCCCAGUGCAGAUGCAUCUGACUUACGAAACUUCAGUGACACCUGCUCUGUGCCAGACACUGAAGAUGGAGCAGUGAACAGCACUGACCCAGCCUGUCCUCCUGUUGCCUGCAGGCCAGAAGCAAGGUCUCGCUGUGUUACCCUGGCUGGAGUGCAGUGGCUACUUACAGGCAUGAUCAUAGCAUACUGCAGCCUCGAACUCCUGGACUAGAGCAGUUCUCCUGCCUCAGCCUCCAGAGCAGCUGGGACUGCAGACACGCACCACAGAGCCCAGCCUGAGUCAUUUUGAUUCUGUAACUGGCUUCCUCUCGGCGGGCAGGCUCACACCCUCCACCCCCAGCUGGAGAUGGAAGGAGGAUGCUCACCGCCCA
Molecule: long non-coding RNA, 566 nt
Filed under: Homo sapiens (human)
Lineage: Eukaryota; Metazoa; Chordata; Mammalia; Primates; Hominidae
Description: non-protein coding LINC00963:19
Source: RNAcentral